GACGAACGCUGGCGGCGUGCUUAGCACAUGCAAGUCGAACGGAAAGGCCCUGCUUUUGUGGGGUGCUCGAGUGGCGAACGGGUGAGUAACACGUGAGUAACCUGCCCUUGACUUUGGGAUAACUUCAGGAAACUGGGGCUAAUACCGGAUAGGAGCUCCUGCUGCAUGGUGGGGGUUGGAAAGUUUCGGCGGUUGGGGAUGGACUCGCGGCUUAUCAGCUUGUUGGUGGGGUAGUGGCUUACCAAGGCUUUGACGGGUAGCCGGCCUGAGAGGGUGACCGGCCACAUUGGGACUGAGAUACGGCCCAGACUCCUACGGGAGGCAGCAGUGGGGAAUAUUGCACAAUGGGCGGAAGCCUGAUGCAGCAACGCCGCGUGCGGGAUGACGGCCUUCGGGUUGUAAACCGCUUUCGCCUGUGACGAAGCGUGAGUGACGGUAAUGGGUAAAGGAGCACCGGCUAACUACGUG
Molecule: ribosomal RNA, 468 nt
Filed under: uncultured bacterium
Lineage: Bacteria
Description: partial 16S ribosomal RNA
Rfam family: Bacterial small subunit ribosomal RNA
Source: RNAcentral